UAGGGAAUCUUCGGCAAUGGACGAAAGUCUGACCGAGCAACGCCGCGUGAGUGAAGAAGGUUUUCGGAUCGUAAAACUCUGUUGUUAGAGAAGAACAAGGACGUUAGUAACUGAACGUCCCCUGACGGUAUCUAACCAGAAAGCCACGGCUAACUACGUGCCAGCAGCCGCGGUAAUACGUAGGUGGCAAGCGUUGUCCGGAUUUAUUGGGCGUAAAGCGAGCGCAAGCGGUUUCUUAAGUCUGAUGUGAAAGCCCCCGGCUCAACCGGGGAGGGUCAUUGGAAACUGGGAGACUUGAGUGCAGAAGAGGAGAGUGGAAUUCCAUGUGUAGCGGUGAAAUGCGUAGAUAUAUGGAGGAACACAAGUGGAGAAGGCGGCUCUCUGGUCUGUAACUGACGCUGAGGCUCGAAAGCGUAGGGAGCAAACAGG
This 429-nucleotide ribosomal RNA is filed under the name Gemmatimonadota bacterium. Its description in RNAcentral is "Gemmatimonadetes bacterium partial 16S ribosomal RNA". It matches the Rfam family "Bacterial small subunit ribosomal RNA", at positions 355 to 776 of the family's 1533-position model. Lineage: Bacteria; Pseudomonadati; Gemmatimonadota. The record is from RNAcentral.